UACGGGGGGGGCAAGCGUUGUUCGGAAUUACUGGGCGUAAAGGGCUUGUAGGCGGCCAACUAAGUCAGACGUGAAAUCCCUCGGCUUAACCGGGGAACUGCAUCUGAUACUGGAUGGCUUGAGUUCGGGAGAGGGAUGCGGAAUUCCAGGUGUAGCGGUGAAAUGCGUAGAUAUCUGGAGGAACACCGGUGGCGAAGGCGGCAUCCUGGACCGACACUGACGCUGAGGAGCGAAAGCCAGGGGAGCAAACGGG
RNAcentral lists this ribosomal RNA (253 nucleotides) under uncultured bacterium. Its description in RNAcentral is "partial 16S ribosomal RNA". It matches the Rfam family "Bacterial small subunit ribosomal RNA", at positions 524 to 776 of the family's 1533-position model. The record is from RNAcentral.